This 87-nucleotide transfer RNA is filed under the name Toona ciliata. RNAcentral's name for it is "tRNA-Val". The record is from RNAcentral. RNAcentral also lists the same sequence under 2 other names. Lineage: Eukaryota; Viridiplantae; Streptophyta; Magnoliopsida; Sapindales; Meliaceae.
AACCUUUGAUAUGAUGAUUUGAAAAGAAUCAAUAGUUUGGACAAAACUAUGGCCAUGCAGGAGAGUUUCUGCUUUUGCAAAGGUUGC